This 1301-nucleotide ribosomal RNA is filed under the name uncultured Ralstonia sp. Its description in RNAcentral is "bacterial SSU rRNA". It matches the Rfam family "Bacterial small subunit ribosomal RNA", at positions 57 to 1353 of the family's 1533-position model. Lineage: Bacteria; Pseudomonadati; Pseudomonadota; Betaproteobacteria; Burkholderiales; Burkholderiaceae. The record is from RNAcentral.
GCAGUCGAACGGCAGCAUGAUCUAGCUUGCUAGAUUGAUGGCGAGUGGCGAACGGGUGAGUAAUACAUCGGAACGUGCCCUGUAGUGGGGGAUAACUAGUCGAAAGAUUAGCUAAUACCGCAUACGACCUGAGGGUGAAAGUGGGGGACCGCAAGGCCUCAUGCUAUAGGAGCGGCCGAUGUCUGAUUAGCUAGUUGGUGAGGUAAAGGCUCACCAAGGCGACGAUCAGUAGCUGGUCUGAGAGGACGAUCAGCCACACUGGGACUGAGACACGGCCCAGACUCCUACGGGAGGCAGCAGUGGGGAAUUUUGGACAAUGGGGGCAACCCUGAUCCAGCAAUGCCGCGUGUGUGAAGAAGGCCUUCGGGUUGUAAAGCACUUUUGUCCGGAAAGAAAUCGCACUUACUAAUAUUAGGUGUGGAUGACGGUACCGGAAGAAUAAGGACCGGCUAACUACGUGCCAGCAGCCGCGGUAAUACGUAGGGUCCAAGCGUUAAUCGGAAUUACUGGGCGUAAAGCGUGCGCAGGCGGUUGUGCAAGACCGAUGUGAAAUCCCCGGGCUUAACCUGGGAAUUGCAUUGGUGACUGCACGGCUAGAGUGUGUCAGAGGGGGGUAGAAUUCCACGUGUAGCAGUGAAAUGCGUAGAGAUGUGGAGGAAUACCGAUGGCGAAGGCAGCCCCCUGGGAUAACACUGACGCUCAUGCACGAAAGCGUGGGGAGCAAACAGGAUUAGAUACCCUGGUAGUCCACGCCCUAAACGAUGUCAACUAGUUGUUGGGGAUUCAUUUCCUUAGUAACGUAGCUAACGCGUGAAGUUGACCGCCUGGGGAGUACGGUCGCAAGAUUAAAACUCAAAGGAAUUGACGGGGACCCGCACAAGCGGUGGAUGAUGUGGAUUAAUUCGAUGCAACGCGAAAAACCUUACCUACCCUUGACAUGCCACUAACGAAGCAGAGAUGCAUUAGGUGCUCGAAAGAGAAAGUGGACACAGGUGCUGCAUGGCUGUCGUCAGCUCGUGUCGUGAGAUGUUGGGUUAAGUCCCGCAACGAGCGCAACCCUUGUCUCUAGUUGCUACGAAAGGGCACUCUAGAGAGACUGCCGGUGACAAACCGGAGGAAGGUGGGGAUGACGCCAAGUCCUCAUGGCCCUUAUGGGUAGGGCUUCACACGUCAUACAAUGGUGCAUACAGAGGGUUGCCAAGCCGCGAGGUGGGGCUAAUCCCAGAAAAUGCAUCGUAGUCCGGAUCGUAGUCUGCAACUCGACUACGUGAAGCUGGAAUCGCUAGUAAUCGCGGAUCAGC